GAUGAACGCUGGCGGCGUGCCUAAUACAUGCAAGUCGAGCGAACAGACGAGGAGCUUGCUCCUCUGACGUUAGCGGCGGACGGGUGAGUAACACGUGGAUAACCUACCUAUAAGACUGGGAUAACUUCGGGAAACCGGAGCUAAUACCGGAUAAUAUAUUGAACCGCAUGGUUCAAUAGUGAAAGACGGUUUUGCUGUCACUUAUAGAUGGAUCCGCGCCGCAUUAGCUAGUUGGUAAGGUAACGGCUUACCAAGGCGACGAUGCGUAGCCGACCUGAGAGGGUGAUCGGCCACACUGGAACUGAGACAAGGUCCAGACUCCUACGGGAGGCAGCAGUAGGGAAUCUUCCGCAAAGGGCGAAAGCCUGACGGAGCAACGCCGCGUGAGUGAUGAAGGUCUUCGGAUCGUAAAACUCUGUUAUUAGGGAAGAACAAAUGUGUAAGUAACUAUGCACGUCUUGACGGUACCUAAUCAGAAAGCCACGGCUAACUACGUG
Molecule: ribosomal RNA, 497 nt
Filed under: uncultured bacterium
Lineage: Bacteria
Description: partial 16S ribosomal RNA
Rfam family: Bacterial small subunit ribosomal RNA
Source: RNAcentral